Molecule: ribosomal RNA, 1811 nt
Filed under: Listeria monocytogenes
Lineage: Bacteria; Bacillati; Bacillota; Bacilli; Caryophanales; Listeriaceae
Description: partial 23S ribosomal RNA
Rfam family: Bacterial large subunit ribosomal RNA
Source: RNAcentral
CCAUUGAAAGAGUGCGUAAUAGCUCACUGGUCGAGUGACCCCGCGCCGAAAAUGUACCGGGGCUAAACAUAUUACCGAAACUGUGGAUGAACCUCUUUAGAGGUUCGUGGUAGGAGAGCGUUCUAAGGGCGGUGAAGUCAGACCGGAAGGACUGGUGGAGCGCUUAGAAGUGAGAAUGCCGGUAUGAGUAGCGAAAGAAGGGUGAGAAUCCCUUCCACCGAAUAUCUAAGGUUUCCUGAGGAAGGCUCGUCCGCUCAGGGUUAGUCGGGACCUAAGCCGAGGCCGAUAGGCGUAGGCGAUGGACAACAGGUAGAGAUUCCUGUACCAGUGCUAAUUGUUUAACCGAUGGGGUGACACAGAAGGAUAGGGAAUCGCACGAAUGGAAAUGUGCGUCCAAGCAGUGAGUGUGAGAAGUAGGCAAAUCCGCUUCUCGCGAAGCAUGAGCUGUGAUGGGGAAGGAAAUUAAGUACGGAAGUUCCUGAUUUCACGCUGUCAAGAAAAGCCUCUAGGAAGAGUAGUACUGCCCGUACCGCAAACCGACACAGGUAGAUGAGGAGAGAAUCCUAAGGUGAGCGAGAGAACUCUCGUUAAGGAACUCGGCAAAAUGACCCCGUAACUUCGGGAGAAGGGGUGCUCUAUUAGGGUGCAAGCCCGAGAGAGCCGCAGUGAAUAGGCCCAGGCGACUGUUUAGCAAAAACACAGGUCUCUGCAAAACCGUAAGGUGACGUAUAGGGGCUGACGCCUGCCCGGUGCUGGAAGGUUAAGAGGAGUGCUUAGCUUCGGCGAAGGUACGAAUUGAAGCCCCAGUAAACGGCGGCCGUAACUAUAACGGUCCUAAGGUAGCGAAAUUCCUUGUCGGGUAAGUUCCGACCCGCACGAAAGGCGCAACGAUCUGGGCACUGUCUCAACGAGAGACUCGGUGAAAUUAUAGUACCUGUGAAGAUGCAGGUUACCCGCGACAGGACGGAAAGACCCCGUGGAGCUUUACUGCAACCUGAUAUGGAAUGUUUGUACCGCUUGUACAGGAUAGGUAGGAGCCGAAGAGACGUGUGCGCUAGCAUACGAGGAGGCAAUGGUGGGAUACUACCCUGGCUGUAUGACCAUUCUAACCCGCCACGCUUAGCGCGUGGGGAGACAGUGUCAGGUGGGCAGUUUGACUGGGGCGGUCGCCUCCUAAAGAGUAACGGAGGCGCCCAAAGGUUCCCUCAGAAUGGAUGGAAAUCAUUCGCAGAGUGUAAAGGCACAAGGGAGCUUGACUGCGAGACUGACAAGUCGAGCAGGGACGAAAGUCGGGCUUAGUGAUCCGGUGGUUCCGCAUGGAAGGGCCAUCGCUCAACGGAUAAAAGCUACCCCGGGGAUAACAGGCUUAUCUCCCCCAAGAGUCCACAUCGACGGGGAGGUUUGGCACCUCGAUGUCGGCUCGUCGCAUCCUGGGGCUGUAGUCGGUCCCAAGGGUUGGGCUGUUCGCCCAUUAAAGCGGCACGCGAGCUGGGUUCAGAACGUCGUGAGACAGUUCGGUCCCUAUCCGUCGCGGGCGCAGGAAAUUUGAGAGGAGCUGUCCUUAGUACGAGAGGACCGGGAUGGACACACCGCUGGUGUACCAGUUGUUCCGCCAGGAGCAUCGCUGGGUAGCUAUGUGUGGCAGGGAUAAACGCUGAAAGCAUCUAAGCGUGAAGCCCCCCUCAAGAUGAGAUUUCCCAUUUCUUCGGAAAGUAAGAUCCCUGAAAGAUGAUCAGGUAGAUAGGUUUGGAGUGGAAGUGUAGCGAUACAUGGAGCGGACAAAUACUAAUCGAUCGAGGACUUAACCAAAA